Molecule: non-coding RNA, 938 nt
Organism: Nerophis lumbriciformis (worm pipefish)
Lineage: Eukaryota; Metazoa; Chordata; Actinopteri; Syngnathiformes; Syngnathidae
Source: RefSeq, a predicted model, not a curated record
AGUGAACAGUCUCUGAGUGGACUGCCCAUCACCUGCAUGCUCCCACACACCGAGCAAAAAGAAGAGGAAGCAGAUGACAAAGGUCUCGACAGGAGAAGAAUGUCCAUGUGGUUGCCACUGUGGGACACAAUAAAAGAAAAAGCAGACCUGCCAACAGGAAUACGCUUGUAAGCCUCGUUGAAUUUGGCCGGUUUUAGUUUGGAGUUCAGUCUCCUUGUCCUCCUCGUCGAAGGAAGAUGACGAGCAUGGAGCUGACGGCAGAGAGGCUACUGGAGAGGAGGUGAAGUGGUACGAGCUCCUGAUGCCGCUCCUCCAACCAGAGAUGCAGAUGGACGUCCUGGACAACUAUCAAAAUCAUUCACCACCAUCUCUACAAGCAGUACAUGAACCAUCAGUGAACAGUCUCUGAGUGGCCUGUCCAUCACCUGCAUGCUCCCACUCCACCGGCACAGUCACCAAGCUCUGUGGAAACCAAUAUUUACCGCUCACUUAUUGGCCGGAAAAGCAGAGGCGCAUAUCCUGCGCUCAACUCCUUCCUCGUGUAUCGUCGUAGUGGCCAACCCUUGGAUGUCCGUCUCCCCGCCAGUCGCAGCGUUGCUCCACUCGCCGACGCCAUCUGAAUCUUCUUUGCUGGCUGCGGGGACUCAUGGCUUGGACUGGUGGCCGUCCCUCUGGUUCUUUGUGUUUGGGCCGCUGUUUUAGUGACCCUCUGCCAGGUUCACCUCCCUUUGUUUUUUGGGGUGGUGUGUUCCUUUCAUGAUCCCACAAGACAGUUUGGAAAUUAUGUUUACUGUAUUUUGUAUUAUUUUCUACCCAGCGCAAAGCAAGGACAGUUUUGCAUCAUUGGCAUUUGUGCAUUUUACUUUUUUAACUGUAUCUUUUUUGCAACUCCAUUCGGCAUUCCUUGUUUUUUGUCAUUAAAUACGUUUUUAUCUUCA